AUGAGUUAUUAUGGGAGUGGGACUGGUGGCUUUAUAAGAAGAGAAAGAGAGACCUGAGAUAGCACACUCAGCCUCCUCACCAUGUGAUACCUUGCACCACCUUGGAACUGCAGAGUCUCCACCAUCAAGAAGGCCCUACAAGAAGUGACCUCUCAACCUUUGACUUCUCAGCCUCCAUAACUCUCAACAAUUUCCUUUAUGUAAUUAAAGAAAAUCUUUUAGUCUGAAAGAAAGUGGCACCAGAGAGUAACCACCAGAGAAAUCCACCAGGGAAAUGAGAAGUGAAUGUUGAUUUCUCAAUAACCUAUAACUAGAGAUUGCAUUUUGAUGAGGACCUGGAUGAUGGCUGUAUAAAUCCAUAUUCAUGCUGCUAUAAAGAACUACCUGAGACUGGAUAAUUUAUGA
RNAcentral lists this long non-coding RNA (405 nucleotides) under Homo sapiens (human). Its description in RNAcentral is "HSALNT0372721". The record is from RNAcentral. Lineage: Eukaryota; Metazoa; Chordata; Mammalia; Primates; Hominidae.